CCUACGGGAGGCAGCAGUGAGGAAUAUUGGACAAUGGGCGCAAGCCUGAUCCAGCCAUGCCGCGUGCAGGAAGACGCAUCUAUGGUGUGUAAACUGCUUUUGUACGGGAAGAAACACUCCCUCGUGAGGGAGCUUGACGGUACCGUAAGAAUAAGGAUCGGCUAACUCCGUGCCAGCAGCCGCGGUAAUACGGAGGAUCCAAGCGUUAUCCGGAAUCAUUGGGUUUAAAGGGUCCGUAGGCGGUUUAAUAAGUCAGUGGUGAAAGCCCAUCGCUCAACGAUGGAACGGCCAUUGAUACUGUUGGACUUGAAUUACUAGGAAGUAACUAGAAUAUGUAGUGUAGCGGUGAAAUGCUUAGAUAUUACAUGGAAUACCAAUUGCGAAGGCAGGUUACUACUAGUGGAUUGACGCUGAUGGACGAAAGCGUGGGGAGCGAACAGGAUUAGAUACCCUGGUAGUCCACGCCGUAAACGAUGGAUACUAGCUGUUGGGCGCAAAGUUCAGUGGCUAAGCGAAAGUGAUAAGUAUCCACCUGGGGAGUACGUUCGCAAGAAUUGAAACUNAAAUUGAAUUGACCGGNNGAGACGNGCGAGAGACGAGAGGAGGAG
Molecule: ribosomal RNA, 608 nt
Filed under: uncultured bacterium
Lineage: Bacteria
Description: bacterial SSU rRNA
Rfam family: Bacterial small subunit ribosomal RNA
Source: RNAcentral